GCCGCCCCCGUAGCUCAGUGGAAAGAGCGCCGCCGUCCUAAGGCGGGCGUCGGGGGUUCGAAUCCCUCCGGGCGCACCA
RNAcentral lists this transfer RNA (79 nucleotides) under Acidimicrobiia bacterium. Its description in RNAcentral is "tRNA-Arg". It matches the Rfam family "tRNA". From Rfam's summary of the family: Transfer RNA (tRNA) molecules are approximately 80 nucleotides in length. Their secondary structure includes four short double-helical elements and three loops (D, anti-codon, and T loops). The record is from RNAcentral. Lineage: Bacteria; Bacillati; Actinomycetota; Acidimicrobiia.